AGCAGCAGCCACGGUAAUACGUAGGUGGCAAGCGUUGUCCGGAAUUAUUGGGCGUAAAGCGCGCGCAGGCGGAUCAGUCAGUCUGUCUUAAAAGUUCGGGGCUUAACCCCGUAAUGGGAUGGAAACUGCUGAUCUAGAGUAUCGGAGAGGAAAGUGGAAUUCCUAGUGUAGCGGUGAAAUGCGUAGAUAUUAGGAAGAACACCAGUGGCGAAGGCGACUUUCUGGACGAAAACUGACGCUGAGGCGCGAAAGCCAGGGGAGCGAACGGGAUUAGAUACCCCGGUAGUCCCUGUCUCUUAUACC
RNAcentral lists this ribosomal RNA (303 nucleotides) under uncultured bacterium. RNAcentral describes it as "partial 16S ribosomal RNA". It matches the Rfam family "Bacterial small subunit ribosomal RNA", at positions 507 to 808 of the family's 1533-position model. The record is from RNAcentral.